RNAcentral lists this unclassified non-coding RNA (857 nucleotides) under Hevea brasiliensis (rubber tree). Lineage: Eukaryota; Viridiplantae; Streptophyta; Magnoliopsida; Malpighiales; Euphorbiaceae. The record is from RNAcentral.
AAGAAACUCUCUUAGCCGUGAAAUUACAUAAUUAACCGGUUAUCAGCAAUUAUAUAUGAAAUGAUAUAAUAACAAUUAAAUAAUCCUUUACUUGCUUAUAAAUAAACCAUGAAACCUCUUCCAAUCCACCUUUCAACUUCCCACUAACAACCGUACACUAUCACCCCUCAUUUUUCCGAGAUCAUUCUGCAAAUUAAUACGAUCGUCUAUUAUAGUUACUAGGAUUUUUAGCAACUAACCAUUUUGAUCCUAAUCGUGUCACUCAAGGCCAACAACCUAAACUGAAAACGUGUUGAAACUUGGAAGCCUUAAAUAAUUCUGCUUGAAUGGCUUUAACUAUCCUCAUGAAACUUAAGUGGACUCCGCUUUAACAACUGCUCGGAUGUCACAAGACUUGGUACUCGAUAGUACAAAGGUCUAGCAACCACCUUCUGAUGUUGUUUGGGUUUACUAACUGCUAAAUUCUGGAACAAGUAAUGGUCUGUCGUUACUAACGAGACACGUUAAUAAAGACUACUAAUGGAAUCCAGGACGAACCUAAAAAACUUCUAUGAGAUUCUACAAUACUUCAAGAAUAACUAAAUUCAUCAUCCGAAUAUCAAUCACCAAGUAAUAUUGAUUGCAAAUAAAGAUAAACUAUCAAAAACUGAUGAGCAAAACUAGAUAUUCUCACUCAUAACACAGAUCAAAAGUUUUUAAGUUCAGUUUAUUCAUCCUCCUGGCUCCGCAACCUAGCCAGCUUGUUUGUGACAACGACAUCCAGUUGGGCAGCUCGCUCCACAAUCUCUUUCCUCUUUCUUGUAGACACAUCAUGUGCAAUUUCAGCACAGUAGGUCCUGUUAUGCAUCAUCAACAGU